This 209-nucleotide long non-coding RNA is filed under the name Panax ginseng (ginseng). RNAcentral's name for it is "long non-coding RNA (PGIN_LNC005623)". Lineage: Eukaryota; Viridiplantae; Streptophyta; Magnoliopsida; Apiales; Araliaceae. The record is from RNAcentral.
UCAGAUGUAACCCUGAGCAACGUCUGCUUUCAACUUAAACCAGCAAUAACCCCGGCGAAGAGUCAAACGUCAUCUUGCCCCUUCAACCCCUGCGCGUCGUCUCAACACUUCAUACAUACAUACAAUAAUGUCCCAUAAGAACCGAGGAGUAACAAUCCCUAGUGACUAUUACGCAUGAUAGUACUUUGGAUAGAAUUUGAAGCUUGAAG